RNAcentral lists this ribosomal RNA (159 nucleotides) under Cytospora hoffmannii. RNAcentral describes it as "Valsa nivea 5.8S ribosomal RNA". It matches the Rfam family "5.8S ribosomal RNA". Rfam says of the family: 5.8S ribosomal RNA (5.8S rRNA) is a component of the large subunit of the eukaryotic ribosome. It is transcribed by RNA polymerase I as part of the 45S precursor that also contains 18S and 28S rRNA. Lineage: Eukaryota; Fungi; Ascomycota; Sordariomycetes; Diaporthales; Cytosporaceae. The record is from RNAcentral.
AUCAAAACUUUCAACAACGGAUCUCUUGGUUCUGGCAUCGAUGAAGAACGCAGCGAAAUGCGAUAAGUAAUGUGAAUUGCAGAAUUCAGUGAAUCAUCGAAUCUUUGAACGCACAUUGCGCCCUCUGGUAUUCCAGAGGGCAUGCCUGUUCGAGCGUCA